RNAcentral lists this ribosomal RNA (2077 nucleotides) under gut metagenome. RNAcentral describes it as "bacterial LSU rRNA". It matches the Rfam family "Bacterial large subunit ribosomal RNA", at positions 657 to 2820 of the family's 2925-position model. The record is from RNAcentral.
GGUCUGGAGCCGAAGCGAAAGCGAGUUUGAAAAGGGCGUUAAGUUGCAUACAAUGGGCCCGAAACCGGGUGACCUACCCAUGGUCAGGUUGAAGUGGAAGUAAAAUUCCAUGGAGGACCGAACCGACCUCCGUUGAAAAGGCGGCGGAUGAACUGUGGGUAGCGGAGAAAUUCCAAUCGAACCCGGAGAUAGCUGGUUCUCCCCGAAAUAGUUUUAGGACUAGCCUCAACUUAGAUAUCUGGAGGUAAAGCACUGAAUAGCCUAGCGGCCGAGAGGUUAGCGAAGCUUAUCAAACUCAGAAUGCCAGAAUAUUGAUGGUUGGGAGUCAGACAGUGUCAGAUAAAUGUCAUUGUCAAAAGGGAAACAGCCCAGAUCUACAGCUAAGGUCCCAAAGUCAGGUUAAGUGGAAAACGAUGUGGAGAUACGCAGACAACCAGGAUGUUGGCUCAGAAGCAGCCACUCAUUCAAAGAGUGCGUAAUAGCUCACUGGUCGAGCGUCUCUGCGCGGAGAAUUUAACGGGGCUAAACCUGACACCGAAGCUUAGGCAAUGUAGUAAUACAUUGGGUAGGGGAGCGUUGUAUACGCGGUGAAACAGUAGCGCAAGCGGCUGUGGAGUGUAUAGAAGUGAGAAUGCCGGAAUGAGUAGCGCGAAUGCAGUGAGAAUCUGCAUGGCCGAAAGCCUCAGGUUUCUGGAGGAAGGUUCGUCCGCUCCAGGUUAGUCGGGAGCUAAGGUGAGGCCUAACGGCGUAGCCGAUGCACAGACGGUAGAGAUUCCGUCACCACCAAAAGAGUUAAGCACAGGGACACAUUUGAAGUCUCGGAGCCGGGUGUUGGUUCCGGUAGCGAUCGAGGGAAAUUAGUACCGAAGUCCGAGAUGGAAGAUGGCGAGAAAAGCUGUGUGUAUUUCUGCGGUGCCCGUACCGCAAACCGACACAGGUAGGUAGGAAGAAGAUUCUAAGGCCAACGGGAGAAGGGUUGUUAAGGAACUCGGCAAAUUGACCCCGUAACUUCGGGAGAAGGGGUGCUCCAGAGAUGGAGCCGCAGAGAAUCGGCCCAAGCAACUGUUUACCAAAAACACAGGUUUGUGCUAAAUCGAAAGAUGACGUAUACGAGCUGACGCCUGCCCGGUGCUGGAAGGUUAAGAGGAGAUGUGCAAGCAUUGAAUCGAAGCCCCAGUGAACGGCGGCCGUAACUAUAACGGUCCUAAGGUAGCGAAAUUCCUUGUCAGGUAAGUUCUGACCCGCAUGAAAGGCGUAAUGAUUUGGGCACUGUCUCGACAGCCCGCCCGGCGAAAUUGUAGUACCGGUGAAGAUGCCGGUUACCCGCGACAAGACGGAAAGACCCCAUGGAGCUUUACUGUAGCCUAAUAUUGGGUUUCGAUGUUGCAUGCACAGGAUAGAUGGGACACUGGGAAGUGAUCGCUUUGGCGGUCAUGGAGUGGCCGUUGGGAUACCAUCCUUGCGAUAUUGGAAUUCUAACCUGCGCCUUUGAAUCAAGGCGGGGGACAUUGUUAGGUGGGCAGUUUGACUGGGGCGGUCGCCUCCUAAAGAGUAACGGAGGCGUUCAAAGGUUCGCUCAGCUUGAACGGAAAUCAAGCAAAAGAGUGCAAACGCAGAAGCGAGCCUAACUGCGAGACUGACGGGUCGAGCAGUAACGAAAGUUGGAGUUAGUGAUCCGGUGGUAUGUGAGUGGAAAUGCCAUCGCUCAACGGAUAAAAGUUACCCUGGGGAUAACAGGCUGAUCUCCCCCAAGAGUCCACAUCGACGGGGAGGUUUGGCACCUCGAUGUCGGCUCAUCGCAUCCUGGGGCUGUAUUCGGUCCCAAGGGUUUGGCUGUUCGCCAAUUAAAGCGGUACGCGAGCUGGGUUCAGAACGUCGUGAGACAGUUCGGUCCCUAUCUGUCGUGGGCGCAGGAUAUUUGAUGGGAGCUGUUCCUAGUACGAGAGGACCGGAGCGGACGUACCUCUGGCGCACCAGUUGUUCUGCCAAGAGCAUAGCUGGGCAACUAUGUACGGAUCGGAUAAACGCUGAAAGCAUCUAAGCGUGAAGCCGACCCAAAGAUAAGAUAUCCCAUUGU